Molecule: ribosomal RNA, 465 nt
Filed under: uncultured Klebsiella sp.
Lineage: Bacteria; Pseudomonadati; Pseudomonadota; Gammaproteobacteria; Enterobacterales; Enterobacteriaceae
Description: bacterial SSU rRNA
Rfam family: Bacterial small subunit ribosomal RNA
Source: RNAcentral
CCUACGGGUGGCUGCAGUGGGGAAUAUUGCACAAUGGGCGCAAGCCUGAUGCAGCCAUGCCGCGUGUGUGAAGAAGGCCUUCGGGUUGUAAAGCACUUUCAGCGGGGAGGAAGGCGGUGAGGUUAAUAACCUCAUCGAUUGACGUUACCCGCAGAAGAAGCACCGGCUAACUCCGUGCCAGCAGCCGCGGUAAUACGGAGGGUGCAAGCGUUAAUCGGAAUUACUGGGCGUAAAGCGCACGCAGGCGGUCGGUCAGGUCGGAUGUGAAAUCCCCGGGCUCAACCUGGGAACUGCAUUCGAAACUGGCAGGCUAGCGUCUUGUAGAGGGGGGUAGAAUUCCAGGUGUAGCGGUGAAAUGCGUAGAGAUCUGGAGGAAUACCGGUGGCGAAGGCGGCCCCCUGGACAAAGACUGACGCUCAGGUGCGAAAGCGUGGGGAGCAAACAGGAUUAGAUACCCCUGUAGUC